RNAcentral lists this transfer RNA (68 nucleotides) under Athene noctua. Its description in RNAcentral is "tRNA-Thr". It matches the Rfam family "tRNA". Rfam says of the family: Transfer RNA (tRNA) molecules are approximately 80 nucleotides in length. Their secondary structure includes four short double-helical elements and three loops (D, anti-codon, and T loops). The record is from RNAcentral. Lineage: Eukaryota; Metazoa; Chordata; Aves; Strigiformes; Strigidae.
ACUCUAAUAGUUUAUAAAAACAUUGGCCUUGUAAGCCAAAGAAUGGAAGCCACCCCUUCCUUAGAGUG